CGUGCAUUUCUGUCACAAGUGGCAGAAGUAAAUUACAACCAGAACCAAGACACAAUUUGCCCACAUUUCGAAAAAACACAAAAAAUUUUGGCAUAACGGAUUCCGUUUGCUGCAGGAGGGGGCGGGGGAAAAGAAAAGAGUGAUCCUACACUAAGCCUUUGAGGCGCCGGUAAGUUGCAUAUUGGGUAGAUCCUGACCUAGACUUCGGUGAACUUUGAUGCAGGACCCCAUCAGAGCCAGACAAGGGCUCCUCCAUUAUGAAUAAAAUUGUUUGAUUCCUUCGCGCCCACGGACUCACAAAGCCCGUACUCUCAGCUGUUACGUAAGAGUCUCUGGAAUCCCUGGAUAGUGUUUGUAAAUAGCGCUGCCAUGCGCACGGAACCCACGUGUCAAAUGUUGAUGUGACCGCGUGUAAUCGCAAGGCGAGAAAGUGUCAACAAGCUCCAAGGAGAAACCUCCUAUUUCUUUGGGCCCUAAAAAAAGAACAUAUUAUCCAAAGCUUGAAUUCAAGUCCCUUUGAGGAACAACCCUCAAUUCCUGAGAGGCAGCUUAAUCAGCACAUGACCAUCACCAGAGUCAAAUGGCACCAUUAUGAAGGUCUGCCCAGGAGAUCCUCAGAUCACAGCAGGAGCAGAAAGGAAUAGAA
This 646-nucleotide long non-coding RNA is filed under the name Capra hircus (goat). RNAcentral describes it as "lncRNA (ENSCHIG00000007280.1)". The record is from RNAcentral. Lineage: Eukaryota; Metazoa; Chordata; Mammalia; Artiodactyla; Bovidae.